GGUUCCAGCAGCAAGGCUACACAGAGCGGCCUGUGCCCACACACAAGGAGAUCCAACAGGCUUUGGUGGAUGUCGGAGACAAACAGGCGUCCUUUGUCGGAUCACGGCAGUGGAUCGGAUCCAUCGAGGUUCAGGCUGUUCUGAACCAGCUGCUUGAGGUACUUCCAAGAUCAUGUUGGUGAGUCAAGGUUCUG
This is a long non-coding RNA of Larimichthys crocea (large yellow croaker), 194 nucleotides long. RefSeq lists it as uncharacterized. Lineage: Eukaryota; Metazoa; Chordata; Actinopteri; Sciaenidae. The record is from RefSeq and is a predicted model, not a curated record. The transcript is spliced from 3 exons.